GAUGAACGCUGGCGGCGUGCCUAAUACAUGCAAGUCGAGCGAACAGAUAAGGAGCUUGCUCCUUUGACGUUAGCGGCGGACGGGUGAGUAACACGUGGGUAACCUACCUAUAAGACUGGGAUAACUUCGGGAAACCGGAGCUAAUACCGGAUAACAUUUGGAACCGCAUGGUUCUAAAGUGAAAGAUGGUUUUGCUAUCACUUAUAGAUGGACCCGCGCCGGAUUAGCUAGUUGGUAAGGUAACGGCUUACCAAGGCAACGAUACGUAGCCGACCUGAGAGGGUGAUCGGCCACACUGGAACUGAGACACGGUCCAGACUCCUACGGGAGGCAGCAGUAGGGAAUCUUCCGCAAUGGGCGAAAGCCUGACGGAGCAACGCCGCGGGAGUGAUGAAGGGUUUCGGCUCGUAAAACGCUGUUAGUAGGGAAGAACAAACGUGUAAGUAACUGUGCACGUCUUGACGGUACCUAAUCAGAAAGCCACGGCUAACUACGUG
RNAcentral lists this ribosomal RNA (497 nucleotides) under uncultured bacterium. RNAcentral's name for it is "partial 16S ribosomal RNA". It matches the Rfam family "Bacterial small subunit ribosomal RNA", at positions 28 to 507 of the family's 1533-position model. The record is from RNAcentral.